CGAGUUGUGGCUCAGCAGUAGAGCACUUGCUUAGCACGUGUGAGGCCCUGGGUUCGAUCCUCAGCACCACAU
Non-coding RNA from Ictidomys tridecemlineatus (thirteen-lined ground squirrel), 72 nucleotides. Lineage: Eukaryota; Metazoa; Chordata; Mammalia; Rodentia; Sciuridae. The record is from Rfam.